GCAGUUCGUAACUCCAGUUUUGGGAUUCUCAUGGAUUUGUUUAUCUUUACUCACUUCUUUGCUUUUGCCUGCAAAUAAAUUCAAUUAUAAUUCUGAGCUUCGACCCUUACGUUGUCCAGUUCUUAGUCCCAAAAAUUAUUCAUUCAUACACCCGUUCAGUUCAGACUAUAUCGUAACACUAGAUCUUGAAAGAAUAUAAAAUAUAUGAAACUACACACGGCUCAUUCAACAAUAACAUAUACACACGAUAAAAUUCCACUUUUGGUACAUUAGAUAUUAAAAUCUGAAAAGAACCAAUAAAAGAAGUGAAUAGUAUAAUAUUUCACCCUUACAUACAAAUUCGUACAAUGACUUGUUCACAACAACCAAUAACCCCCCCCCCCUAAAAAAAACCCACGAAGCUAUACCAAAAAUAUACAAAAAACUUUGAGGAGGACCACACAUACACAAAUUCAAGGCAUAAAAAAUAACCAAUGCACACAUGCAACGGGACAAGCAUACCCCACAAUAAUUUAAAGACACAAAGGACAAUUAUAAAGCAUAAAACUUUCGAAAAGAAACCCACAAUCGAACACAAAAAGGGUUCUCAAAAUUGACAACUCCCAAAUCCUUAAAAAAUGACAAAUUUCUCAUUUUAAAUUAAAUUUUUGAAAGAAUCAAAAAUAAAAGAGGGUUAAAACCGAUCCCACAAUUGAACCCAACGUUUACGAACCUCGCGCCGCCGUUGCAUUCUUCGUCCUCGCCAUUUACCCGCCAUCGCUGAAAUCAGAACCUACAAUCGAACCCUAGUUCGUCCGCCGUUUGUGAGUGAAGAAGAUGGAAAAGUGAUUUGGUAGGUUAUAAUUGAAGAGAGAGAGAGAGUGAAAAUCUGCAUCAAAUACUUUGCAAUUCACACUCAACAUAAUUAGUAUAAUUUUAUUUUAUUUUGCAUUCUAAAAUUUAUCGGUUCUAUGGAAUAAUGUUAUUGGUGCUAUUUUAUUUUGCAUUAAAUUCAUAUCAAACCUUCUAAAUUCUCGACCAAAAU
Molecule: long non-coding RNA, 1024 nt
Filed under: Salvia miltiorrhiza (redroot sage)
Lineage: Eukaryota; Viridiplantae; Streptophyta; Magnoliopsida; Lamiales; Lamiaceae
Description: long non-coding RNA (SMIL_LNC007711)
Source: RNAcentral